CCCAGACUCCUACGGGAGGCAGCAGUGGGGGAUAUUGCACAAUGGGGGGAACCCUGAUGCAGCGACGCCGCGUGGGUGAAGGAGCGUUUCGGCGCGUAAAGCCCUAUCGGCAGGGAAGAAGGAGGACGGUACCUGACUAAGAAGCCCCGGCUAACUACGUGCCAGCAGCCGCGGUAAUACGUAGGGGGCAAGCGUUAUCCGGAUUUACUGGGUGUAAAGGGGGCGCAGAUGGCAGCGCAAGCCAGGAGGGAAAGCCCGGGGCCCAACCCCGGGACUGCUCUUGGAACUGCGCGGCUGGAGUGCAGGAGGGGCAGGCGGAAUUCCUGGUGUAGCGGUGAAAUGCGUAGAUAUCAGGAGGGACACCGGUGGCGAAGGCGGCCUGCUGGACUGCGACUGACGUUGAGGCCCGAAAGCGUGGGGAGCAAACAGGAUUAGAUACCCGGGUAU
Molecule: ribosomal RNA, 447 nt
Filed under: uncultured bacterium
Lineage: Bacteria
Description: bacterial SSU rRNA
Rfam family: Bacterial small subunit ribosomal RNA
Source: RNAcentral